Molecule: ribosomal RNA, 301 nt
Filed under: uncultured bacterium
Lineage: Bacteria
Description: partial 16S ribosomal RNA
Rfam family: Archaeal small subunit ribosomal RNA
Source: RNAcentral
CAGCAGCCGCGGUAAUACCAGCUCUCCGAGUGGUGGGGAUGUUUAUUGGGCCUGAAGCAUCCGUAGCCAGCUGAGCAAGUCCCCAGUUAAAUCCAGCGAUUUAAUCGUUGGACUGCUGAGGAUACUGUCCGGCUUGGGGGUGAGAGAGGCCGACGGUAUUCCCGGGGUAGGGGUGAAAUCCUAUAAUCCCGGGAGGACCACCAGUGGCGAAGGCUGUCGGCUAGAACAUGCCCGACGGUGAGGGAUGAAAGCUGGGGGAGCGAACCGGAUUAGAUACCCCGGUAGUCUGUCUCUUAUACAC